This is a long non-coding RNA of Myotis daubentonii (Daubenton's bat), 1370 nucleotides long. RefSeq lists it as uncharacterized. Lineage: Eukaryota; Metazoa; Chordata; Mammalia; Chiroptera; Vespertilionidae. The record is from RefSeq and is a predicted model, not a curated record.
AGCCCACCUCCUUCUGUGCCCAGGCCUCUUCGUCCCUCUGACAGACAGCAAGGAUCUCUUGGCUCUGAGCGAAAACUUCGUCCCUCCUCAGUACGAAGCAGCUACAGAAGAAAUCCAACACCCAUUUUCCCUGAAAGAAUUCAGAGCCAGGAUCCUUGAGGUGACCUACUUGCCUCUGGGCAGCAGCAGCCCACCAGCCAAGUGACGCCCAGCCUGAAUAGAAGGUGACCUCUGACCAGACACACCCACUGCGGAUCAUCCUCAAGAAGACAACAGACCUGGCCAGUCAACCUGCUCUGAUCAAGCAGCAAAGGAAGCCACCAAAAGACCAGUAGGGGCCCUACAGGUCUUAGUGGCCCUCCCAGACCGCCAGCUGCCAGACACCCCAACCUACACCAAGAAGGAAGAAGAGCAAGCAAAAGGACUAGGGGACCAGGUAACCAGGGGAGGAUGGCUGAAACUCCCGGACCACCGUCUGUUCCUCCCAGAAAGCCUGGGCAGAAUCAUCGUAGAGCAGACCCAUAGGGGCACCCAUCUUGGAGGCACCAAGCUGGCUGAGCUUCUUUGCAAGAAUUACUGUGUUCUGGGACUACAGAGGAUGGCCAAGGAUGUGGCUCGGAGAUGCCAGGCGUGUGCCCAAAUGAACCCUGAGCCCCCCUAUUACGUAGGGAUCGGAGCUUCGGCUCCAUUUGGGGAAAGUGCGGCCCACAUCCGCAACGUGUCCAGGAAUGCAGAAACCCCGGGACUAUGUGCGUGGGGAAAGGGGAGGAGGGGAUUAACUUUAGGAGAUAUUACUGGAGCCGGGCUGUGUGUCGCAUCUGCCAAUUACUCCCUCCCCGAUUCCCCCUAUGCAGAAAAUUGUAACCGGACACUCCGACUUCCGGAGAGACCAGGGUCCGGGACCCCCUGGUAUCUGGUGGCCCCAAAUGGUACCUGGUGGGCAUGCGUCACCGGAAUUACCCCCUUCAUACUCUCCCUAAACCUCCAGACUGGGCCCAAGCCAGGGCUCUGCGUCCUAACUCAUGGUCCUGCAUACCCAAUACUCUCAGCUAGUGGAUACUAGCGACGAAUCCAGGGUCUGAAUUUGUCUCUUAAGACCAGUAGGGAGUGUGAUGAAUUGAAUGUCAGUAAAAAAUUUUAACAAGGAUGGGGUCAAGGAUAGGUAACCAGGCAUAACUCCAAGUUUCCCACUCCCAGACAUCGGUGCGUCAAGGUCCUGAUCAGACCCUUGUAACUGUAAAUCAAGGACAUUUGUGGUUUCUGUGUAUAAAAGCUUGCUGAGCACAAAGCUCAGGGCUGUUACAGGAGGGGCCUGUGGCAGACGCUGGCCAGCUCAAUAAAUCCUCGCUUGCUGUUUAAGACCGAAUUGG